AAGAGUUGGAACAUUAGUUGUUUCUCUACACAACUGUUUGGCUUUUCCGCCAUAUUCUGCUUGAUUUCGGAUCAUUGGUUUUGUUUUAAUUUCUAGUUGUAUUACAGUUAUCAGUAUAGUGGGUGGGGGCAAUUGUCACUCUGGAGGAAGGGCGUAAAACACUCGAGGGCUUUAAUGCUAAAAUUUAAACAGAGCCAAAAUAAAUGCAGGCUAAUCGGGCUGGAGCAGUGAGAGCACAGCGGAGACAGAGUCAGUUUGGGAUGACUCUUCCUUAGAGGGAAGGACUCACAUUGACAGCUCUGGUGGUGCCUGUACGGGACUGUGGAUGGUCAGGUGGACGGGGAUAAGGGUCCGUGAAGCUCGGGGAAUAUGUGCCAGUGACGUGGAUAAGAGUUCAACCUCGAAAGUGCAGACAAAAUGUUUAGUCCUGGAGUGGGCUGGUCUGGUCAAGGAUGGAACUGGUGACAUGGGAUUGGGAGGACUUGCACUGAUGUCCCAUCCGGGAAAUCCGGCGCAAGGUGCUGCAGGAACUCAGCAGAUCGGGUAGCAUAUAUGGAGGGGAAUAAAGAGUUGUGAUGGACUAUUUAUUUCUCUGGGAAGUUGCUGCCUGGCCUGCCAAGUUCAUGGGCAUUUCGCAAAGUCGCCAUUGCAGAGCUUCAUUUGGCACCAUGGUUGGCACAGACAUGGUGGGCCGAAGGGCCUGCUCCUGUGCUGUACUGUUGUCCAUGCCAGGCGGGCACAGCAAGAGCCCAUAUGGAACUAUGUGAUGACGCAACAAGGCGGAACACCACGGGGGUAAAAAUAACCCUGCUUCACCGUCACAGCCCCCGUUGCAGCUUUGUGGGCAAGACUAUGGGAAGUCCGUCUAACAAAAGUAUCUGGAGCGGGACUUUCUGAUGCACGGAAACGACUGCAGGUGCUGGUACCCGGAACAACAAAAUAUCUGCAGGAGGUAUUCAGCAGAUCGAACAGCAUCUGUGGGAGUGCGGGAAUUGUCAACGCUUUCAGGUCAAAACUCUAUCGGGACUAGUUUUGACCCGAAAGGUCGACAAUUCCUUCAGGAGUGCGAGGAGACACCGCGGGUCAGGCAGCGUCUGCGGGGGGAAAUGGGCAAAAUGACGUUCCAGGUUGAGAUCCUUCAUCCGGACUGGAAAGAAAGGGGGAGGUAACCUGUAUUUAAAAAAAGGCUGAUGGCGGGGGUGGAGUGAGUUGUCAACUGGUCAUCCCCCUUUUUCUUUCCUGUCCAAAUGAAAGGUCUGGACCUACAGAUGUUGCCUCAACCGCUGUUUCCCCAGCGCUUCUCGUUUCGCACCAGAUUCCAGCAUCUGCAGCCUCCACCACCCCUACCCCCUUCCAACCACUCAGAGAUGAUGCUCGACCCAGUGAAUGCCAGCAAUUGCGAGAUCUGAUGUGAAAAGUAGGGAAUGAGAUGGGGCAACGAUUCUCGUAGUGAGGCAAUGCACUGCCGAGACGGAACGCCAGACGUGCGGCUCGAUAACGGGACAAUGGAGUGAAAUGUGUCGGUGGGGGCGGGAGUAUCUGAUAGCCCGCGCGGACAGCGGCGAGGUGGGGAGAAAAAGAAGCAAAAUGCAAAACCAAUACGAAACCGUUACCCGGAUUUAUUUCCAAAAUGCAUUAGCUGUAAAACCAUAAAUAAAGGCAAAAUGUGUACCA
Long non-coding RNA from Hypanus sabinus (Atlantic stingray), 1674 nucleotides. RefSeq lists it as uncharacterized. The record is from RefSeq and is a predicted model, not a curated record. The transcript is spliced from 2 exons. Lineage: Eukaryota; Metazoa; Chordata; Chondrichthyes; Myliobatiformes; Dasyatidae.